CAGGGUAUAGACCCGAAACCCGGUGAUCUAGCCAUGGGCAGGUUGAAGGUUGGGUAACACUAACUGGAGGACCGAACCGACUAAUGUUGAAAAAUUAGCGGAUGACCUGUGGCUGGGGGUGAAAGGCCAAUCAAACCGGGAGAUAGCUGGUUCUCCCCGAAAGCUAUUUAGGUAGCGCCUCGUGAAUUCAUCUCCGGGGGUAGAGCACUGUUUCGGCUAGGGGGCCAUCCCGGCUUACCAACCCGAUGCAAACUGCGAAUACCGGAGAAUGUUAUCACGGGAGACACACGGCGGGUGCUAACGUCCGUCGUGAAGAGGGAAACAACCCAGACCGCCAGCUAAGGUCCCAAAGUCAUGGUUAAGUGGGAAACGAUGUGGGAAGGCCCAGACAGCCAGGAUGUUGGCUUAGAAGCAGCCAUCAUUUAAAGAAAGCGUAAUAGCUCACUGGUCGAGUCGGCCUGCGCGGAAGAUGUAACGGGGCUAAACCAUGCACCGAAGCUGCGGCAGCGACGCUGAUGCGUUGUUGGGUAGGGGAGCGUUCUGUAAGCCUGCGAAGGUGU
Molecule: ribosomal RNA, 560 nt
Filed under: Salmonella enterica subsp. enterica serovar Vitkin
Lineage: Bacteria; Pseudomonadati; Pseudomonadota; Gammaproteobacteria; Enterobacterales; Enterobacteriaceae
Description: partial 23S ribosomal RNA
Rfam family: Bacterial large subunit ribosomal RNA
Source: RNAcentral